This 919-nucleotide ribosomal RNA is filed under the name Melopsittacus undulatus (budgerigar). Its description in RNAcentral is "partial 16S ribosomal RNA". The stretch from base 354 to 919 matches the Rfam family "Archaeal large subunit ribosomal RNA", at positions 1423 to 2608 of the family's 2987-position model. The record is from RNAcentral. Lineage: Eukaryota; Metazoa; Chordata; Aves; Psittaciformes; Psittaculidae.
ACUCUUCCGUAAUAGACUAAGAGCUACUUAAAGGGGGUACAGCCCCUUUAACACAGGACACAACCUCCACCAGCGGAUAACCCCACCCCAUACCACACCCCGUAGGCCCUAAAGCAGCCACCCAUAAAGAGUGCGUCAAAGCUCAAACACAAAAAAAAUCCAAAAACAACACGACUCCCUACACCCCAACAGGCUAACCUAUCACUAUAGAUGAAUCAAUGCUAGAACGAGUAACCAGGAUAUCACAUCCCCUUAAGCGCCAGCCUACACACAAUUAACAGCACAGACCACAAUGCCUAACAUACACCCCCCCCAUUGAACACACCCCUGUUAACCCACCAGGGGCGCACAACUAGGACGAUCCAAAUCUGCAAAAGGAACUCGGCAAACCCAAGGCCCGACUGUUUACCAAAAACAUAGCCUUCAGCCAAACAAGUAUUGAAGGUGAUGCCUGCCCAGUGACACUCAGUUCAACGGCCGCGGUAUCCUAACCGUGCAAAGGUAGCGCAAUCAAUUGUCCCAUAAAUCGAGACUUGUAUGAAUGGCUAAACGAGGCCUUAACUGUCUCCUGCAGACAAUCAGUGAAACUGAUCUCCCCGUGCAAAAGCGAGGAUAUAUACACAAGACGAGAAGACCCUGUGGAACUUUAAAAUCAAUAGCCACCACAUAUCCUACCCCAAGCCUACUGGCUCAUAACCAAAAACACUGGCUAAUAUUUUUAGGUUGGGGCGACCUUGGAGAAAAACAAAUCCUCCAAAACCAAGGCCACAACCCUUAACCAAGAGCUACCCCUCAACGUACUAAUAGUGUCCAGACCCAAUAAAAUUGAUCAAUGAACCAAGCUACCCCAGGGAUAACAGCGCAAUCUCCCCCAAGAGCCCAUAUCGACAAGGGGGUUUACGACCUCGAUGUUGGAUCA